This 229-nucleotide ribosomal RNA is filed under the name uncultured bacterium. Its description in RNAcentral is "partial 16S ribosomal RNA". It matches the Rfam family "Bacterial small subunit ribosomal RNA", at positions 568 to 796 of the family's 1533-position model. The record is from RNAcentral.
UGCGUAGGCGGCCAAAUUAGUCAGGGGUGAAAGCUCGCAGCUCAACUGCGGAAUUGCCUUUGAUACUGUUUGGCUUGAAUCAGGAUGAGGUCAGCGGAAUGUGGCAUGUAGCGGUGAAAUGCAUAGAUAUGCCAUAGAAUACCAAUUGCGAAGGCAGCUGACUAGACCUGCAUUGACGCUGAGGCACGAAAGCGUGGGGAGCGAACAGGAUUAGAUACCCUGGUAGUCC